Molecule: transfer RNA, 85 nt
Filed under: Zygosaccharomyces bailii
Lineage: Eukaryota; Fungi; Ascomycota; Saccharomycetes; Saccharomycetales; Saccharomycetaceae
Description: transfer RNA-Pro(TGG)
Rfam family: tRNA
About the family: Transfer RNA (tRNA) molecules are approximately 80 nucleotides in length. Their secondary structure includes four short double-helical elements and three loops (D, anti-codon, and T loops). Further hydrogen bonds mediate the characteristic L-shaped molecular structure. tRNAs have two regions of fundamental functional importance: the anti-codon, which is responsible for specific mRNA codon recognition, and the 3' end, to which the tRNAs corresponding amino acid is attached (by aminoacyl-tRNA synthetases). tRNAs cope with the degeneracy of the genetic code in two manners: having more than one tRNA (with a specific anti-codon) for a particular amino acid; and 'wobble' base-pairing, i.e. permitting non-standard base-pairing at the 3rd anti-codon position.
Source: RNAcentral
GGGCGUGUGGUCUAGUGGUAUGAUUCUCGCUUUGGGUGUAUUCCAAAUAUGCGAGAGGCCCUGGGUUCAAUUCCCAGUAUGCCCC